CCUACGGGAGACAGCAGUGAGGAAUAUUGGUCAAUGGCCGAGAGGCUGAACCAGCCAAGUCGCGUGAGGGAAGACGGCCCUACGGGUUGUAAACCUCUUUUGUCGGGGAGCAAAGAGAGUCACGUGUGACUCAAUUAGAGUACCCGAAAAAAAAGCAUCGGCUAAAUCCGGGCCAGCAGCCGCGAUAAUACGGAGGAUGCGAGCGUUAUCCGGAUGUAUUGGGUUUAAAGGGUGCGCAGGCGGAGGUGCAAGUCAGCGGUCAAAUUGCGGGGCUCAACCCCGUACUGCCGUUGAAACUGCAUCCCUUGAGUGCGCGAGAAGUAUGCGGAAUGCGUGGUGUAGCGGUGAAAUGCAUAGAUAUCACGCAGAACUCCGAGUGCGAAGGCAGCAUACCGGCGCGCAACUGACGCUCAUGCACGAAAGCGUGGGUAUCGAACAGGAUUAGAUACCCUGGUAGUC
Molecule: ribosomal RNA, 459 nt
Filed under: uncultured bacterium
Lineage: Bacteria
Description: partial 16S ribosomal RNA
Rfam family: Bacterial small subunit ribosomal RNA
Source: RNAcentral